CUACGGGAGGCAGCAGUGGGGAAUAUUGCACAAUGGGCGCAAGCCUGAUGCAGCCAUGCCGCGUGUAUGAAGAAGGCCUUCGGGUUGUAAAGCACUUUCAGCGGGGAGGAAGGGAGUAAAGUUAAUACCUUUGCUCAUUGACGUUACCCGCAGAAGAAGCACCGGCUAACUCCGUGCCAGCAGCCGCGGUAAUACGGAGGGUGCAAGCGUUAAUCGGAAUUACUGGGCGUAAAGCGCACGCAGGCGGUUUGUUAAGUCAGAUGUGAAAUCCCCGGGCUCAACCUGGGAACUGCAUCUGAUACUGGCAAGCUUGAGUCUCGUAGAGGGGGGUAGAAUUCCAGGUGUAGCGGUGAUAUGCGUAGAGAUCUGGAGGAAUACCGGUGGCGAAGGCGGCCCCCUGGACGAAGACUGACGCUCAGGUGCGAAAGCGUGGGGAGCAAACAGGAUUAGAUACCCCCGUAGUC
RNAcentral lists this ribosomal RNA (464 nucleotides) under uncultured bacterium. RNAcentral describes it as "partial 16S ribosomal RNA". It matches the Rfam family "Bacterial small subunit ribosomal RNA", at positions 339 to 795 of the family's 1533-position model. The record is from RNAcentral.